Corvus hawaiiensis (hawaiian crow) is the source of this 230-nucleotide long non-coding RNA. RefSeq lists it as uncharacterized. Lineage: Eukaryota; Metazoa; Chordata; Aves; Passeriformes; Corvidae. The transcript is spliced from 3 exons. The record is from RefSeq and is a predicted model, not a curated record.
UCUUUAUUUUUAGGAGGAAAAGACGGAUCUCAGCAGUCCAUGUCAAGUGAGCGAGGUGGUCCACUAGUAUUACACUGCCCCCCCCCCCCCUUGCCGACCGGCCGACGGACCCGGCUCGCCGCCCCCGUGAGCUCUCCGCAAGUAUUACGGGACUCUGCGACGAAGCCUUGACCUUUUCCACGUGAAGGCAACGGCCGAGGACUCAGGUAUAGCCUGCCACGGUGGCGUCA